This 1226-nucleotide long non-coding RNA is filed under the name Phoenix dactylifera (date palm). Its description in RNAcentral is "long non-coding RNA (PDAC_LNC015328)". Lineage: Eukaryota; Viridiplantae; Streptophyta; Magnoliopsida; Arecales; Arecaceae. The record is from RNAcentral.
AGUUGUGUGUGUGUGUGUGUGUGUGUGUGUGUGUGUGUGUGUGUGUGCAUGUAGGUAUGUAUGCUUAUGCAUUUUCUUUAAAAUAUUUCAGUCAAUGGCAUGCUCGACAUUAGAACAUAAGGCAGAUGCUGACAAUGACAUGCCAAUGUAAUCAAGAAUUGAGCUGAAUCUGUUCAUUUUUGUCAAUAACAUAUAAUGGUUGCUGCAAAUCUGCUAAGCUUUUCUACAUCCCACAUCUCAUUUGAGAAAACUGGGUUAUGGCUGAUUUUUGAGGCUUUGGGUCCUAGCCUUGAUUACACACAAUGCUUCAAGUAUUUUGUCAUUUAUAUGCAAUUGUGUCAUGCUACCUACAACCAUAACCAACAAGCCGCCGUCCUGAAUACAUGGGCUCUGCCAUUUGAUUCUACCAGGAGCUACAACCAUCUUCAUUGCCAACCUACGCUGUUGCAUCUUAGAAUUCUGAGGUCUUCACUCCUUAUCCUUAAACAUAUUUAUGACUGUCCUUAUUGGGGUAUCCUCAGUUCUUUCUUGCCAAUGCUGUCUCAAUAGAAUUUCAGUCCUCAAUUUCUCUUCUGUUGGUGUAAUAAUAUACUCAUUUCAGACUCUUCUUUUGCUUGUGUCCCCCCUUAUUUUCCAUCUACCGUUACUAAGUUAAGAUCUAGGACCCUUUUCACCAUCCAACAUUCGAAUUUAUAGUGUUAUUUAACAGCACUGCAUUCCUUGCCUUCUAAAAGUCAAGGAGGCAUGUGAUGUAGUCCUCUAUUUGGCUGCAUAGGGUAGAGACCAAGACUUCUGAUGCAUAUAAUAUAUGAUUUCAAGGCAUUUUUUGGUGGUGUAGACUCAAUGUUCUGAAAUUGGUUUUUUGAAUCAUCAAAUUCAUUACCAAAGAAAUAAUGUAUAGUAUCCCCCCCCCCCCCCCCCCCCGAAAAAAAAAAAAAUCAAUUAGUUUGACCCAUUAUAAUAACAUUAGCAGUAGGCCUUCUUUUUAGAGAUUGGUGAAGGAUGUUGAUAUUAAAAAUAAAUUUGCUAAAGUGUUGUGUUUCUUAUAUCCUACAGCUAAUUUGGGAGUUUAGACAAGAGUAUACAUACAUAUAUAUAUUGAACAACCAAAACAAAUGCUUUUUCCAUAUAAUAACAAAAAAUAAUUAUAUAAAAGAUAAAUAUAUAUAGUUUAGCUAUUUUUCCCCUAUGUGGCCCUUCAUCUCUCUCUCUCUCUCUCUCUCUCC